Non-coding RNA from Podarcis lilfordi (Lilford's wall lizard), 173 nucleotides. The record is from the annotation of a GenBank genome assembly. NCBI's taxonomy places the organism in Eukaryota, Metazoa, Chordata, Lepidosauria, Squamata, Lacertidae.
UGAAUAUGAUUGAUAAGGAGCUGCUGGUUUUGGUAACAAAUUACUGUAUGCAGAAGUUAAAAACUAUGUCACUUUUAUAGUAUAUAACUUCUCUCUCUGUGUGUGUGUGUGUGUGUGUGUGUGUGUGUGUGUGUGUGUUGUCCAUAUAAUACGGGGCAAGCUCUAAUAUACAA